AUUGAACGCUGGCGGCAUGCUUUACACAUGCAAGUCGAACGGCAGCACAGGGAGCUUGCUCCCGGGUGGCGAGUGGCGCACGGGUGAGUAAUACAUCGGAACGUGUCCUGUUGUGGGGGAUAACUGCUCGAAAGGGUGGCUAAUACCGCAUGAGACCUGAGGGUGAAAGCGGGGGAUCGCAAGACCUCGCGCAAUUGGAGCGGCCGAUGCCCGAUUAGCUAGUUGGUGAGGUAAAGGCUCACCAAGGCGACGAUCGGUAGCUGGUCUGAGAGGACGACCAGCCACACUGGGACUGAGACACGGCCCAGACUCCUACGGGAGGCAGCAGUGGGGAAUUUUGGACAAUGGGGGCAACCCUGAUCCAGCCAUGCCGCGUGCAGGAUGAAGGCCU
Molecule: ribosomal RNA, 391 nt
Filed under: uncultured bacterium
Lineage: Bacteria
Description: bacterial SSU rRNA
Rfam family: Bacterial small subunit ribosomal RNA
Source: RNAcentral